RNAcentral lists this ribosomal RNA (497 nucleotides) under uncultured bacterium. Its description in RNAcentral is "partial 16S ribosomal RNA". It matches the Rfam family "Bacterial small subunit ribosomal RNA", at positions 28 to 507 of the family's 1533-position model. The record is from RNAcentral.
GAUGAACGCUGGCGGCGUGCCUAAUACAUGCAAGUCGAGCGAACAGACGAGGAGCUUGCUCCUCUGACGUUAGCGGUGGACGGGUGAGUAACACGUGGAUAACCUACCUAUAAGACUGGGGUAACUUCGGGAAACCGGAGCUAAUACCGGAUAAUAUAUUGAACCGCAUGGUUCAAUAGUGAAAGACGGUUUUGCUGUCACUUAUAGAUGGAUCCGCGCCGCAUUAGCUAGUUGGUAAGGUAACGGCUUACCAAGGCAACGAUGCGUAGCCGACCUGAGAGGGUGAUCGGCCACACUGGAACUGAGACACGGUCCAGACUCCUACGGGAGGCAGCAGUAGGGAAUCUUCCGCAAUGGGCGAAAGCCUGACGGAGCAACGCCGCGUGAGUGACGAAGGUCUUCGGAUCGUAAAACUCUGUUAUUAGGGAAGAACAAAUGUGUAAGUAACUAUGCACGUCUUGACGGUACCUAAUCAGAAAGCCACGGCUAACUACGUG